Molecule: long non-coding RNA, 1126 nt
Filed under: Anas platyrhynchos platyrhynchos (common mallard)
Lineage: Eukaryota; Metazoa; Chordata; Aves; Anseriformes; Anatidae
Description: lncRNA (ENSAPLG00000016598.1)
Source: RNAcentral
CAGAGUCUCAGUGAUAUCAGCAUAAAUCAGGGCUAUGGAGUUAUAGAGGCAUGAAAUGAGAUCAGAACGAGCCCUGGAGCUCUCUUCCAUGCCCAAGACCUAUCACUGGUUCCUUGUCAAACUCCAAGUGAGAUCUUGCUUGCAGACCUUGCUCCCGUUGGCAUAAUGCCACCAUUGGACUUUCUGCAGGAAUCAGCCAUCCACUAAGUCAUUACCUCCAAAUCAUCAAAUUAUUUUUCUCUAAUACAAUUAGUCACGUAAGUGCAGGACGAUCCAUUCUGCUUUUUCCUACUGGACAUUUAAGCCGGCGGCUUUGUGUUCACUUCCUGCUGGCAGACAGCCUGCGUAGGGAAAUGCAGGUGGACAGCAAGUCAUCGAUGGCACGGGAUGUUUCAGGGUCUGCCACAAACUGCAGAGUGCUUAAGACUCAGCCAUUUUUAGUCAUUUCCAUGCUUUCUCCAUUUCUAAGUGUGACGGAAGGGCAGAGGGCACAGCGUGGGGGCUGCCCAGGGGCCAGGCAGGCUGCUGUGCUGCAGCAGCGCCUCUGCCAUGCCAGAAGUUGCUUGUUGUGCCUCCCAGCCGCUCCAGGGAGCUCCCACCUGGGAUAAAUCCCAGCACCAGAGGCGCAAAAGAGGCAGGAGAAGCUAUGUUUUCCUCUAUCUAAAUUCUAAUUUUGGACACUACACAGGGCUUUCUUGCCUCUCCCACCAGAUCCCACGCGCAAGAUCCAGAUGUCUCCCCUUGUUAGUGGGUUUAGCGCUUUCUGUCUCAUUUGCACCAGACACUUCUCAUUUUACUGCCUUGUUCCCUCAGCAGCAGCUCAAAGAGGACCCUUCAGGUGAUGGCAGCAGAGGGGACGGGCACGAACGGCUCCUGAGCAAGGAGCUCCUGGAACAGCUCCAAGCACAACUGGCAUUGCUGUCUUCAACUGUUAUUCUGCAAGAUCUAGCGGGCAGCAGGACCAGCCAGAAAAAUAAAAAUAAAAGCAAGAAAGAGAAGCUGUCCUGGUAUUCGGUGGCUCGGAUCCGACAUAAACACUGCUGGGAUAAGGCAGACGUGCUGGAACGCUGCGGGAUUCAGGGUCAGAGUGAAAAUCCCCUGGUUUUCACAUUCAUACACCCCAAAC